UGGGGAAUAUUGCACAAUGGGGGAAACCCGUAGAUGCAGCGACGCCGCGUGAUUGAAGAAGUAUUUCGGUAUGUAAAGAUCUAUCAGCAAGGAAGAAAAUAGACGGUACUUGACUAAGAAGCCCCGGCUAACUACGUGCCAGCAGCCGCGGUAAUACGUAGGGGGCAAGCGUUAUCCGGAUUUACUGGGUGUAAAGGGAGCGUAGGCGGUCUGGCAAGCCAGAAGUGAAAGCCCGGGGCUUAACCCCGGGACUGCUUUUGGAACUGUUAGACUAGAGUGUCGGAGAGGUAAGUGGAAUUCCUAGUGUAGCGGUGAAAUGCGUAGAUAUUAGGAGGAACACCAGUGGCGAAGGCGGCUUACUGGACGAUAACUGACGCUGAGGCUCGAAAGCGUGGGGAGC
Molecule: ribosomal RNA, 400 nt
Filed under: uncultured Clostridium sp.
Lineage: Bacteria; Bacillati; Bacillota; Clostridia; Eubacteriales; Clostridiaceae
Description: bacterial SSU rRNA
Rfam family: Bacterial small subunit ribosomal RNA
Source: RNAcentral